RNAcentral lists this ribosomal RNA (251 nucleotides) under uncultured bacterium. Its description in RNAcentral is "partial 16S ribosomal RNA". It matches the Rfam family "Bacterial small subunit ribosomal RNA", at positions 88 to 339 of the family's 1533-position model. The record is from RNAcentral.
GUGGCGACCGGCGCACGGGUGCGUAACGCGUAUGCAAUCUACCUUGUACAGAGAGAUAGCCCAGAGAAAUUUGGAUUAAUACCUCAUAGCAUCAUUGAAUGGCAUCAUUUAGUGAUUAAAGUUUCGGCGGUACAAGAUGAGCAUGCGUCCUAUUAGUUAGAUGGUGAGGUAACGGCUCACCAUGACUACGAUAGGUAGGGGUUCUGAGAGGAUGAUCCCCCACACUGGUACUGAGACACGGACCAGACUCC